GAUGAACGCUGGCGGCGUGCCUAAUACAUGCAAGUCGAGCGAACAGACGAGGAGCUUGCUCCUCUGACGUUAGCGGCGGACGGGUGAGUAACACGUGGAUAACCUACCUAUAAGACUGGGAUAACUUCGGGAAACCGGAGCUAAUACCGGAUAAUAUAUUGAACCGCAUGGUUCAAUAGUGAAAGACGGUUUUGCUGUCACUUAUAGAUGGAUCCGCGCCGCAUUAGCUAGUUGGUAAGGUAACGGCUUACCAAGGCAACGAUGCGUAGCCGACAUGAGAGGGUGAGCGGCCACACUGGAACUGAGACACGGUCCAGACUCAUACGGGAGGCAGCAGUAGGGAAUCUUCCGCAAUGGGCGAAAGACUGACGGAGCAACGCCGCGUGAGUGAUGAAGGUCUUCGGAUCGUAAAACUCUGUUAUUAGGGAAGAACAAAUGUGUAAGUAACUAUGCACGUCUUGACGGUACCUAAUCAGAAAGCCACGGCUAACUACGUG
RNAcentral lists this ribosomal RNA (497 nucleotides) under uncultured bacterium. RNAcentral's name for it is "partial 16S ribosomal RNA". It matches the Rfam family "Bacterial small subunit ribosomal RNA", at positions 28 to 507 of the family's 1533-position model. The record is from RNAcentral.